RNAcentral lists this ribosomal RNA (500 nucleotides) under uncultured bacterium. RNAcentral's name for it is "partial 16S ribosomal RNA". It matches the Rfam family "Bacterial small subunit ribosomal RNA", at positions 30 to 523 of the family's 1533-position model. The record is from RNAcentral.
AUUGAACGCUGGCGAAAUGUUUUACACAUGCAAGUCGAACGGCAGCACGGACUUCGGUCUGGUGGCGAGUGGCGAACGGGUGAGUAAUGUAUCGGAACGUGCCCAGUCGUGGGGGAUAACGUAGUGAAAAUUACGCUAAUACCGCAUACGAUCUAUGGAUGAAAGCGGGGGAUCGCAAGACCUCGCGCGAUUGGAGCGGCCGAUAUCAGAUUAGGUAGUUGGUGGGGUAAAGGCCCACCAAGCCAACGAUCUGUAGCUGGUCUGAGAGGACGACCAGCCACACUGGAACUGAGACACGGUCCAGACUCCUACGGGAGGCAGCAGUGGGGAAUUUUGGACAGUGGGCGAAAGCCUGAUCCAGCCAUUCCGCGUGCAGGAUGAAGGCCCUCGGGUUGUAAACUGCUUUUGUACAGAACGAAAAGGUUUCUACUAAUACUAGGAGCUCAUGACGGUACUGUAAGAAUAAGCACCGGCUAACUACGUGCCAGCCGCCGCAGUAA